CUCUAUCUAGCAUGUAUAGAAAUGUAUUGUAAUGUUCUGCGUGUGCUAGUUGUAAUGUGUGAUCUAUCUCUAUCUAGCAUGUAUUGACUCAUGAAUGAACUGACUCAUUGUAUAAUUUUGCGUUCUAGUAAUAAUUCUAGUAUCUUCCUGAACUACCCCUAUAGUAGCUUGCUAGUAAUAUGACUUGUAUGUAUGAACAUGAAGNAGUUCUAGUAUCUUCCUGAACUACCCCUAUAGUAGCUUACUAGUAAUAUGACUUGUACGUAUGAACAUGAAAGGUAGCUACCCAAGGGUAUUGAACUGACCGAUAGAACUUUUAUGACUAUGUAUGUACACAUGAUAUAUAACUAAUAAUUAAAUGACUGUCGGACGGAUACCCGAUAACCUACCAGACCACAUCCCUACGGGGAAAAGGAAAUAAAGCGGGCUAGCCUUCCUAAGUCCUUUAAGCAUUACUUAUAUAACUAUACAUAUUUAGGCAUGCAAUU
This 488-nucleotide long non-coding RNA is filed under the name Lactuca sativa (garden lettuce). Its description in RNAcentral is "long non-coding RNA (LSAT_LNC007382)". The record is from RNAcentral. Lineage: Eukaryota; Viridiplantae; Streptophyta; Magnoliopsida; Asterales; Asteraceae.